GUCCUUUAGAAUUUAAUUUAAGGUCUAGCCUGCCCACUGAAAUUUAUUUUAAAUGGCCGCAGUAAUUUGACUGUGCAAAGGUAGCAUAAUCAUUAGUUUUUUAAUUGAAAGCUUGUAUGAAAGGUUGGACGAGGUAAAAUCUGUCUCUAAUUAAUUUAAUUUAGAAUUUAACUUUUAAGUCAAAAGGCUUAGAUAUAAUUAAAAGACGAGAAGACCCUAUAGAUCUUUAUAAUUUAUUUAUUAAAUUUAAUUAAGAAUUUUUUAAAUUUUAUUAAUUUAAUUAUUUUAUUGGGGUAAUAUAAAGAUUAAAUUAAUUCUUUUUUUUUAUUAACAUUAAUUUAUGGUUUUAUGAUCCAAUUUUAUUGGCUAUAAGAUUAAGUUACCUUAGGGAUAACAGCGUUAUUUUUUUAGAGAGUUCUUAUCGAUAAAAAAGUUUACGACCUCGAUGUUGGAUUAAAGAUUAUUUCAGGUGUAGAAGUUUGAAAAUUUUGGUCUGUUCGACCAUUAAAUCUUUACAUGAUCUGAGUUCAGACCGGUGUAAGCCAGGUCGGUUUCUAUCUUUAAUAAAUUAAAAUAUUUUAGUACGAAAGGACCAAUUAUUUAAUAUAAAGUAUUUAAAUUUUGAUUAUUAUUAA
RNAcentral lists this ribosomal RNA (635 nucleotides) under Nebria intermedia. RNAcentral describes it as "partial large subunit ribosomal RNA". The stretch from base 390 to 549 matches the Rfam family "Bacterial large subunit ribosomal RNA", at positions 2473 to 2632 of the family's 2925-position model. Lineage: Eukaryota; Metazoa; Arthropoda; Insecta; Coleoptera; Carabidae. The record is from RNAcentral.